This 74-nucleotide microRNA precursor is filed under the name Pteropus vampyrus (large flying fox). RNAcentral's name for it is "miRNA (ENSPVAG00000025973.1)". Lineage: Eukaryota; Metazoa; Chordata; Mammalia; Chiroptera; Pteropodidae. The record is from RNAcentral.
GAUGGGGUUGAUCAGUGGACAAGACUGUAACUCACCAUAGUGAUAGACUGCCCUGAUCUGGACACCAUUGCUUU